UUGAACGCUGGCGGCAUGCCUUACACAUGCCAGUCGAACGGUAACGGGCCUUCGGGUGCCGACGAGUGGCGAACGGGUGAGUAAUACAUCGGAACGUGCCCGAUCGUGGGGGAUAACGAGGCGAAAGCUUUGCUAAUACCGCAUACGAUCUACGGAUGAAAGCAGGGGACCGCAAGGCCUUGCGCGGACGGAGCGGCCGAUGGCAGAUUAGGUAGUUGGUGGGAUAAAAGCUUACCAAGCCGACGAUCUGUAGCUGGUCUGAGAGGAUGAUCAGCCACACUGGGACUGAGACACGGCCCAGACUCCUACGGGAGGCAGCAGUGGGGAAUUUUGGACAAUGGGCGCAAGCCUGAUCCAGCCAUGCCGCGUGCAGGAUGAAGGCCUUCGGGUUGUAAACUGCUUUUGUACGGAACGAAAAGCCUUCUUUUAAUACAGGAGGGUCAUGACGGUACCGUAAGAAUAAGCACCGGCUAACUACGUG
RNAcentral lists this ribosomal RNA (481 nucleotides) under uncultured bacterium. Its description in RNAcentral is "partial 16S ribosomal RNA". It matches the Rfam family "Bacterial small subunit ribosomal RNA", at positions 30 to 507 of the family's 1533-position model. The record is from RNAcentral.